Molecule: transfer RNA, 73 nt
Filed under: Tautonia plasticadhaerens
Lineage: Bacteria; Pseudomonadati; Planctomycetota; Planctomycetia; Isosphaerales; Isosphaeraceae
Description: Planctomycetes bacterium ElP tRNA-Glu
Rfam family: tRNA
About the family: Transfer RNA (tRNA) molecules are approximately 80 nucleotides in length. Their secondary structure includes four short double-helical elements and three loops (D, anti-codon, and T loops). Further hydrogen bonds mediate the characteristic L-shaped molecular structure. tRNAs have two regions of fundamental functional importance: the anti-codon, which is responsible for specific mRNA codon recognition, and the 3' end, to which the tRNAs corresponding amino acid is attached (by aminoacyl-tRNA synthetases). tRNAs cope with the degeneracy of the genetic code in two manners: having more than one tRNA (with a specific anti-codon) for a particular amino acid; and 'wobble' base-pairing, i.e. permitting non-standard base-pairing at the 3rd anti-codon position.
Source: RNAcentral
CGCUCGUUCGUCCAUCGGCCAGGACACCCGGCCCUCGACCGGGAGAGGCGGGUUCGAGUCCCGCACGGGCGAC